GAUGAACGCUAGCUACAGGCUUAACACAUGCAAGUCGAGGGGCAUCAGGAAGAAAGCUUGCUUUCUUUGCUGGCGACCGGCGCACGGGUGAGUAACACGUAUCCAACCUGCCCUUUACUCGGGGAUAGCCUUUCGAAAGAAAGAUUAAUACCCGAUGGCAUAAUGAUUCCGCAUGGUUUCAUUAUUAAAGGAUUCCGGUAAAGGAUGGGGAUGCGUUCCAUUAGGUUGUUGGUGAGGUAACGGCUCACCAAGCCUUCGAUGGAUAGGGGUUCUGAGAGGAAGGUCCCCCACAUUGGAACUGAGACACGGUCCAAACUCCUACGGGAGGCAGCAGUGAGGAAUAUUUGGUCAAUGGGCGCUAGCCUGAACCAGCCAAGUAGCGUGAAGGAUGAAGGCUUAUGGGUCGUAAACUUCUUUUAUAUAAGAAUAAAGUGCAGUAUGUAUACUGUUUUGUAUGUAUUAUAUGGAUAAAGGAUCGGCUAACUCCGUGCCAGCAGCCGCGGUAAUACGGAGGAUCCGAGCGUUAUCCGGAUUUAUUGGGUUUAAAGGGAGCGUAGGUGGACUGGUAAGUCAGUUGUGAAAGUUUGCGGCUCAACCGUAAAAUUGCAGUUGAUACUGUCAGUCUUGAGUACAGUAGAGGUGGGCGGAAUUCGUGGUGUAGCGGUGAAAUGCUUAGAUAUCACGAAGAACUCCGAUUGCGAAGGCAGCUCACUGGACUGCAACUGACACUGAUGCUCGAAAGUGUGGGUAUCAAACAGGAUUAGAUACCCUGGUAGUCCACACAGUAAACGAUGAAUACUCGCUGUUUGCGAUAUACAGUAAGCGGCCAAGCGAAAGCAUUAAGUAUUCCACCUGGGGAGUACGCCGGCAACGGUGAAACUCAAAGGAAUUGACGGGGGCCCGCACAAGCGGAGGAACAUGUGGUUUAAUUCGAUGAUACGCGAGGAACCUUACCCGGGCUUAAAUUGCAGUGGAAUGAUGUGGAAACAUGUCAGUGAGCAAUCACCGCUGUGAAGGUGCUGCAUGGUUGUCGUCAGCUCGUGCCGUGAGGUGUCGGCUUAAGUGCCAUAACGAGCGCAACCCUUAUCUUCAGUUACUAACAGGUCAUGCUGAGGACUCUGGAGAGACUGCCGUCGUAAGAUGUGAGGAAGGUGGGGAUGACGUCAAAUCAGCACGGCCCUUACGUCCGGGGCUACACACGUGUUACAAUGGGGGGUACAGAAGGCAGCUAGCGGGUGACCGUAUGCUAAUCCCAAAAUCCUCUCUCAGUUCGGAUCGAAGUCUGCAACCCGACUUCGUGAAGCUGGAUUCGCUAGUAAUCGCGCAUCAGCCACGGCGCGGUGAAUACGUUCCCGGGCCU
This 1360-nucleotide ribosomal RNA is filed under the name uncultured bacterium. Its description in RNAcentral is "bacterial SSU rRNA". It matches the Rfam family "Bacterial small subunit ribosomal RNA", at positions 28 to 1381 of the family's 1533-position model. The record is from RNAcentral.